CUCGCGCCGCCACCUCCGCCUCGCGCCGCCACCUCCGCCUCGCGCCGUUGUCGCCGUCGCCUCGCGCCGCCACAGACGUCGCCGCCUCCGGCUUCCCCGUCGCCGUCGACCGCCCCCGCCACCAUCGCGGGCCCCCGAAACCCUAGCCGCUGCCGCCCGCUCCCUCUCGUCCCACCCCCUCCCUCGAUGCUCCUUCUCCCGCGACGACGUCUCGAGGUACGUGGUGCUGAGCACGGCGGUGAACUGUUGGGGGAGGUUGGGGGGGGGGUGAGCAUCGUGCUGGAGAAGAAGGCGUUCGUGGUGGAGCUGUUCGACAAGUAUGUCAAGACGCUCGGCUCCGGGAUCGACGUGCUCGCCCCCCUCGUCGACCACAUCGCCUACGUCCACUCGCUCAAGGAGGAGGCCAUCCCCAUCCCUGACCAGUCCGCCAUCACCAAGGACAACGUCUCCAUCCAGAUCGACGGCGUCCUUUGCGUCAAGUGCCAGCAAUUUGCCUCCCUCAUCAGGGCCACAUCUACAUGUGGAGUUCAUCUCCCAUAAAAGAGGAUCCACAUAGUAUACCUCACACAUGAACUCUGUAAUAAGCUGAGGUGAUCUUUAUAUGCUUCACCAACUGGUGACCAAUGGGCUCUUUUCUGAGAAAACAGCCCAGUUUCCUCUUAAUUUUGUUAAUUCUGCACCUUGGUGCUCGUGAAGCAAGUGCACUAAGUUCAGAUGAUGAAGCACUUCUUGCCUUCAAGAAGGCAGUUACAACUUCUGAUGGGAUAUUCCUCAACUGGCGUGAACAAGAUGUGUAUCCUUGCAAUUGGAAGGUUGUUAGAUGUCACAGUCACACCAAGAGAGUAAUUUAUCUUUCACCGCCAUCUUCGACAUUGGCAGCUCCAACCUCUGGGUGCCAUCAGCCAAUUGUUACUUCUCAGUGAGUCCCUGUUCGAUGCACUGUUCAAGGGAAGUUCUCUUAAGAGUCUGCCAAUUGCGACUUGUGCAGUUGUGCUAAUGAUGGAUUUUUCCUGGUGAUGAUUGAUGCAGGUUGUGUGCUUCUUCCACUCUCACUACAAGUCCGGGCAGUCAAGCACUUAUCAGAAGAAUGGAUGUUUUCCUCCGUUCCUCUAUCAUCAUUCCCUAUGACGAGUAAAAAGAGUGAGAUCAUAUGGCAACAUUCUUUGUGAAAGCAACACAUCCAUAUCUGGAUGUAGUGGUUGCCAUAAUGGAGACAAGGAGCUGUUGAAUGUAGUAUUGCUUGAUGUUAAAAGUGGGUCACAAUUUCCAGUGUUGGAAUCUAAUUCAGUACAUGGCAAUGAAAUUUCAUUGACCUCUGAAAGUGAGGUAUCAAACUUAAGGUAUACUCCCAUGGUACCUCAGAUACAUCAUGUUCUAGGUGUUGAAACUGAAAGUUGCAUUCAUUCUGGUGAUUCAAACUUUCUGGAUCUUGAAUGGCUUUCAGCUUCAGGCAACUCAAGCGAUGAAAGGUCCAUUGCAAUUAGUACUCCAGAUGUGAACCUUUCAGCGGAGAAUGUUAUUGCCACAAUGUCUUCUUUUGACUGGUAGAUUUGUAUGAUCAAAUAUAGUUGUACCAUCACCAUGGACACAUUACUCCGAUCAUUAUGUAAAACUUUAUUUUCAUUUUUUAUAUGCAUUGGUGCUUCAUCUUUAGAUUGUAAUGUGUAAGAGUUUUGUUCUCAGUAGAAUCUGUACAACGAUGUAUGCAAAAUUACUCAUCAACAGCAUCCCCUGCAAAUGUAUUCGUGGGUUUUUUCCUUACAUAAUCA
This is a non-coding RNA of Oryza sativa Japonica Group (Japanese rice), 1769 nucleotides long. Lineage: Eukaryota; Viridiplantae; Streptophyta; Magnoliopsida; Poales; Poaceae. The record is from RefSeq and is a predicted model, not a curated record.